RNAcentral lists this ribosomal RNA (253 nucleotides) under uncultured bacterium. RNAcentral describes it as "partial 16S ribosomal RNA". It matches the Rfam family "Bacterial small subunit ribosomal RNA", at positions 524 to 776 of the family's 1533-position model. The record is from RNAcentral.
UACGUAGGGUGCGAGCGUUGUCCGGAAUUACUGGGCGUAAAGAGCUCGUAGGUGGUUUGUCGCGUUGUUCGUGAAAUCUCACGGCUUAACUGUGAGCGUGCGGGCGAUACGGGCAGACUGGAGUACUGCAGGGGAGACUGGAAUUCCUGGUGUAGCGGUGGAAUGCGCAGAUAUCAGGAAGAACACCAACGGCGAAGGCAGCUCGCUGGGACGGAACUGACGCUGAGGCGCGAAAGCGUGGGGAGCGAACAGG